AACGCUAGCUACAGGCUUAACACAUGCAAGUCGAGGGGCGGCACGGGAGUAGCAAUACAACUGGUGGCGACCGGCGCACGGGUGAGUAACGCGUAUGCAACCUACCUAUCAGAGGGGAAUAACCCGGCGAAAGUCGGACUAAUACCGCAUAAAACAGGGACACCGCAUGGUGAUAUUUGUUAAAGAGUUUCGCUGAUAGAUGGGCAUGCGUUCCAUUAGGUAGUUGGUGAGGUAACGGCUCACCAAGCCGACGAUGGAUAGGGGAACUGAGAGGUUGGUCCCCCACACUGGUACUGAGACACGGACCAGACUCCUACGGGAGGCAGCAGUGAGGAAUAUUGGUCAAUGGGCGAGAGCCUGAACCAGCCAAGUCGCGCGAAGGAAGAAGGAUCUAUGGUUCGUAAACUUCUUUUGCAGGGGAAUAAAGUGCAGGACGUGUCCUGUUUUGUAUGUACCCUGAGAAUAAGGAUCGGCUAACUCCGUGCCAGCAGCCGCGGUAAUACGGAGGAUCCGAGCGUUAUCCGGAUUUAUUGGGUUUAAAGGGUGCGUAGGUGGUUUGAUAAGUCAGCGGUGAAAGUUUGCAGCUUAACUGUAAAAAUGCCGUUGAAACUGUCGGACUUGAGUGUAAAUGAGGUAGGCGGAAUGCGUGGUGUAGCGGUGAAAUGCAUAGAUAUCACGAAGAACUCCGAUUG
RNAcentral lists this ribosomal RNA (692 nucleotides) under uncultured bacterium. RNAcentral describes it as "bacterial SSU rRNA". It matches the Rfam family "Bacterial small subunit ribosomal RNA", at positions 32 to 715 of the family's 1533-position model. The record is from RNAcentral.